AUUCAGCUGAUGAAUCCAGUAUAGGACGAAACGUGCGUCCAGCAU
Schistosoma haematobium is the source of this 45-nucleotide non-coding RNA. NCBI's taxonomy places the organism in Eukaryota, Metazoa, Platyhelminthes, Trematoda, Strigeidida, Schistosomatidae. The record is from Rfam.